RNAcentral lists this ribosomal RNA (385 nucleotides) under uncultured bacterium. RNAcentral describes it as "partial 16S ribosomal RNA". It matches the Rfam family "Bacterial small subunit ribosomal RNA", at positions 355 to 733 of the family's 1533-position model. The record is from RNAcentral.
UGGGGAAUUUUGGACAAUGGGCGAAAGCCUGAUCCAGCAAUGCCGCGUGUGUGAAGAAGGCCUUCGGGUUGUAAAGCACUUUUGUCCGGAAAGAAAUCCUUGGCUCUAAUACAGUCGGGGGAUGACGGUACCGGAAGAAUAAGCACCGGCUAACUACGUGCCAGCAGCCGCGGUAAUACGUAGGGUGCAAGCGUUAAUCGGAAUUACUGGGCGUAAAGCGUGCGCAGGCGGUUUGCUAAGACCGAUGUGAAAUCCCCGGGCUCAACUGGGAACUGCAUUGGUGACUGGCAGGCUAGAGUAUGGCAGAGGGGGGUAGAAUUCCACGUGUAGCAGUGAAAUGCGUAGAGAUGUGGAGGAAUACCGAUGGCGAAGGCAGCCCCCUGGG